UAGUGACCCAUAAUCGCCAAA
Molecule: non-coding RNA, 21 nt
Organism: Caenorhabditis elegans
Lineage: Eukaryota; Metazoa; Nematoda; Chromadorea; Rhabditida; Rhabditidae
Source: Ensembl